Molecule: long non-coding RNA, 520 nt
Organism: Pan troglodytes (chimpanzee)
Lineage: Eukaryota; Metazoa; Chordata; Mammalia; Primates; Hominidae
Source: Ensembl
UCUUCAUGGCCUAAUUCCCUGAUCCUCCAACCAGGAGGCCCCCCCAGGCCUGAAAGAAGUGUUUGUAAAGAAAAAUGGCAUCGUGCUCUUUGCUGGUCUGCUUUUUUCUCACUUCAUUUUAACCACACCAAUAUCUGGAGCUUUGGCCAAACAACUUGGCUUCUAGAAAAUGUGGUAGGGAGUUUUCAAAUGAGUGUCAACUCCCUUAGAUCUUUUAAAUUCCAAGAACAAAAGAUAAAAGAAGCUCUACCAAAAUACAAACAACAAGCAACAACAACAACAAUCUUCCUACCUUGAUGUGUACGUCUGUAAUUGUGGUGUUAAAGUUGUGUAGGGAAAAAGGGAGAAAGCUUCAUUUGUCUUCCUCCAGCUUGAGUUGAUAGGUGGUGAUUGGACUAAUGGUCCCAUGUACUGUUGUGACUUCAGGAACCGCCGUGAAGCAAGGAUUCAUCAAAGAGGGGAAGUGAGAGGAUUUUGUUUGCUUAUUUAAUAAAAAAAAUUUUUUUAAUAGAGAUUUCCU